RNAcentral lists this ribosomal RNA (495 nucleotides) under uncultured bacterium. Its description in RNAcentral is "partial 16S ribosomal RNA". It matches the Rfam family "Bacterial small subunit ribosomal RNA", at positions 28 to 507 of the family's 1533-position model. The record is from RNAcentral.
GACGAACGCUGGCGGCGUGCCUAAUACAUGCAAGUAGAACGCUGAAGGAGGAGCUUGCUUCUCUGGAUGAGUUGCGAACGGGUGAGUAACGCGUAGGUAACCUGCCUGGUAGCGGGGGAUAACUCUUGGAAACGCUAGCUAAUACCGCAUAAGAGUAGAUGUUGCAUGACAUUUGCUUAAAAGGUGCAAUUGCAUCACUACCAGAUGGACCUGCGUUGUAUUAGCUAGUUGGUGGGGUAACGGCUCACCAAGGCGACGAUACAUAGCCGACCUGAGAGGGGGGUCGGCCCCACUGGGACGGGGACACGGCCCAGACUCCCGCGGGAGGCAGCAGUAGGGGAUCUUCGGCAAUGGACGGAAGUCUGACCGGGCAACGCCGCGUGAGGGAAGAAGGGUGUCGGAUCGGAAAGCUCUGUUGUAAGGGAAGGACGAAUGUGAGAGUGGAAAGUGCACACUGUGACGGUACCUGACCAGAAAGCGACGGCUAACUACGUG